This is a transfer RNA of Camelus ferus (Wild Bactrian camel), 72 nucleotides long. It matches the Rfam family "tRNA". From Rfam's summary of the family: Transfer RNA (tRNA) molecules are approximately 80 nucleotides in length. Their secondary structure includes four short double-helical elements and three loops (D, anti-codon, and T loops). Lineage: Eukaryota; Metazoa; Chordata; Mammalia; Artiodactyla; Camelidae. The record is from Rfam.
GAGGAUAUAGCUCAGUGGUAGAGUGCAUGCUGAGCAUGCAUGAGGUCCUGGGUUCAACCCCCAGUACCUUCA